Long non-coding RNA from Gasterosteus aculeatus aculeatus (three-spined stickleback), 3093 nucleotides. The record is from Ensembl. Lineage: Eukaryota; Metazoa; Chordata; Actinopteri; Perciformes; Gasterosteidae.
CGAUGAAAUGUGUUCUUUUUCCAGUUUAAUUUUGUGGUGGCGGGGUGUGGUUAGCUCAGCUGCAGAGGGGAGAGCGGGGGGAGUGGUUCAGGAAACACCCGGCAGGUAGUUAACAAGCACAGCUGAAUAACAUCCUGACUGAUUGUCUCCCAUGUAAAACAGUGAGCAGGACUUGGAGAACAGAGAAACUUGGAGCAGACGCUUGGGGGCCAAGGAAGCCACAAACCUGCGCUCACUGCGAAAUAAAAUAAAGUAUCUUGAUAAGCAGACCUGUGUGUCUGUGCGUCCUUCAAAGAACCCCAUAGUAGUAGCUCAGUCAUGGCUACAAAUUUACUGUCCAGAUAGACACAGAGAUAUUUAUAUGAUUGGGCAAUUUAUCUACUGUACCACAAUUAUAUCUGGCGAAACUUAACUUAAUAAUUCCUCGGGUGGAAUUCCCAUGGUGGCGCUAUUGGUUUAUAACAGUAAAGCAAAUAGAUUACCCUCUUAGCAUUGUCACACAUGCUUAAUUUAGCAACGUAUGGUUGUUUGAUUCAAUCUGCUGAUAUAUAUCCACAGGGAGUGAGGCAUAACCCCUUAUUUCCAUUUUGUGGAACUGAAGAGCUGUAUCAGACCUGAAUUUAUUAUUUUUUGUCCAUAAUGCUGCUGUUGCUAGUUAUAAUCAACCAGCUUUUUAUGGGAACGACUCAAUUUUCCUUCCAAGGUUGAAUAAGAUCCCAACUUUACAUUUCAAUAUCCACCUUGCGCCUCACGCAGUCUCCACAUGAAUCAUUUCCUUCUAACCAUAUUUGCAUGCAAUUUUAAAUCUGGAAGUCUACACUAUAUUAUAGAUGAGUAUGUUGAAUGACGCUGAGGUUACCAGAGUAUAAACAUGUGUGCCAUUCAACUUCAACAAUUCUACUGCAUUAAUUCUAACAGUCUGACUUCCUAAACAUCAUAAAUCACUGCUAGACUAGCAGACCGACCCCUCUCACCUUCCAUCUCACUCCACUUUUUGGCCUCAACCAUAUCUUCCCUCCACCUGCUCCCUUUUUAAAAUCUCUCUCUCGCUUUUACUUGUGAGGUCCAGAAUGUUUUGUGGUGUGCAGUCUAAAAAGCGCUCUGAUGGAUUAGCUGUCUUCCAUAGGCUUGAAGAUUAACUCAAGGGCAACCCACUCCUGUUUCCUGGAUGCCACGCUGAAGAUGAAUAAACUUCUCCUACCUCAUUACAGCGUAGGAGAAUAUAAAUUUAAAAAAAUGUUCGCCGAAGUUGGCCAAUGUGUCCCUCUCAGUCAGUCCCUGUCUCUCUCACUAUUUAUUAUUAGAAGAUAAACCAGCAGCCUGAUGUAAAGUGACAGUGUGCGUUCGGUUCUUGUUUGUUCCCUGACAACCCAGGAAAUUGGCUUUUCAUCUUACAAAAAAACCACUGCAAUGUAUAUUAGAGGACAUUCAUUUUAUCAUGAAGGCCGGGGAUAAUUGGAAGGCUUAGCAUUCAUUUUUGUAGUGUACGCCAUAUGAAGGGCCAUAUUUACCAAGCCUUUUGUGGCGUUUUCUUUGUCGCCAUUCAGGAAUUAAGGAACUUUGUAUUCCCCAUAUGGUUUAACAUGGGCCAUGUUCCACAUUAGUCCACACCCUGGCCGGUUCUCAAUAUGUGGUCUUGUCUGGACUUGUGCGCCCAGAACUUCUGGGUAGUUUUUGUGGUCACAAAUUACAAAGACAAAAGAAGAAGAAGACGACAAAAUCAGCCUUUUUUUCAGGCUGAGAGAACUUUUGGUUAUUUUAAAUUCAAAUUAAUUUAGUCAGUUAGUCAUGUACUUUAGCUGAAAGUAAUAAUUCAAUAAAACACUGCAUGAAAAGUGGGAUUUUUUGCAGUAUGCGGCACUGUAAAUUGUCGUGGAAUUUCAGGUUUGCGGCAAUUUGCGGGCAACGCCGAAAACUGCCGUAAAUUGUCAGAAAUUGAUGUGGGCCUCCCUUGGCAGUUGUCCCCCCAUGACCCCCCUCCUCCUAAUUCUAGGGGAGGCUUUGACAUGUAAAUGAAAAUGCUGUGAGCUAAACAAAUGCAAAUCAGGGUUGCAGAGGGAGUUUUAGCCCAGGUGACAUUUUUUUAAAAGUCCGCAGACAGACGAGAAGAAGCUGCUGAAUGCUCUCAGUGGAUCGUCUCGUCAACUACAACAACAAACUGCCGAUAUCAACGAGCGGUUCGCGCCACUGGAGCGUUCGGGACUCUCCAGGUUUCUGUCCAUGGAGGAGAGGAACUGACUCAAAGAAGAGGAGACGGGCGCACAAUCCCAAGAUAGCGGAAGCGGUGCGCCGUCUUCACAACUCCGAGACGAACUACAGGCGCCACGAACCGGAGCAAGGACUAAUCUCGCCUCAUAAUGAGGCGGUGACCUCGUAUUUGCUCUGGGAAAAGUCCAGAUUUAGACAACGUCAUUGUGUGUAAGUGACACUGUUUACUGUUUCUCCUUCCUUGUUAAAUGUUACUGUGACUUGCGUUUGAUUUUUUUUGUAUUCAUACCACACUCAUUUAAUUGUUUUCCAACCGCCUGUGAGACGUAUUUUGAGACGGGACGCAGGAGCUUCAGGUUCAGGCGGAACACUCACUGCGGGCGGAAGCUGCGAAUGAUUCAGCGCGAGAAGAAAGCCGCUGCUGGAAUCGAGACAAAGUGUGCUGGCUGAUGACGAGGUGGAACUCUGGAAAUCCGCCACCGUAGAGCUCACGUCGGCCGGAGGGGACGGCGUUGUUGGCGGGGUCUCGGGGUGGAUUGUACGGUCGCCACACACACACACGAGCCGCCUGCACAACAGACCUGCCUCGGAAAACACGGCGCCAGUGACGGUCUACAACCCCGAGGAAGGCAAACGGACAGUUUACUGAGCUGUAAUUUUUAAACCGCCGUUACCCAAGUGUGGGCAGAUCCUCACUUUGUAUGUAGUUGUUGUUUGUGUGUUGUAAAUAAAGCUUUUUCUUUGCAUAAACAUGUGGCAAAUGUUCAUUUUCUCUCUAAAUUCAUUGAUGUCCUGGUUAGUAUUCCAAUAAUAGUGUAGUAGCCUACAUAGGAUAACCAUGAAAUGAAUAUACAGCAUAAUAUGAAUAUAUAAAUAAAAUGAGGC